RNAcentral lists this unclassified non-coding RNA (825 nucleotides) under Hevea brasiliensis (rubber tree). The record is from RNAcentral. Lineage: Eukaryota; Viridiplantae; Streptophyta; Magnoliopsida; Malpighiales; Euphorbiaceae.
ACUAUAUAAUAAGCACAAAUACAUUAAAUAAAGGCAUUAAAUCUAUCAUGUUUAGGCAUCUUUAGCAUUAAACAAUUUAUAGCUAAAAUAAUUAUGUAGAUAUAGUAAAAAAAAAAAACAACCUUAUUACCACCAAAAUAGCACAUAAUGAAAAGAAAUAGCAAGAAAUAACAUAUAACUCACCUUUUUGUAAGAAGUAGCUUGGAGAAGAGAGAUAUUUAAUGAUGAUCAUAGCAUAGAAAAUAAUAAGGGAGAGAUUUGCAGAAGAAAGAAGAAAUUUGGGUGAAAAUUUUGAGAGAAUAGGAAAGAAACAACAGUUGUGGAAGAGAAAAGCACACAGACAAUGAAAAGAGAGGAAAAAAAAAUUUUUGUUUCCAUGUGAUUUGUACUAGAUGCAUAAUUGAAGUAAUGGCCGUUACCAUUACAUAAUGGUAAAUAACAAUCGUUACUGUUACUUAACUAUCGUAAUGGUCAUUAUACGUUCAACUCAGGAUUUGCCUAUAAAUAAUAGGUAACGCAUAACGGGCCUUCAAAAACCUAUAAAUAAUGGCCGUUAUGUAACCAUGCUUGCGAUACGAGUGGAAUGGAUUGAAAGCAAAACUCACACGUGAAGAACUUUAAGAAGCAAAGAAAAUUAAGAAAGAGUAGAAAUCUAGUCUUCGGAAAAUAGAAUAAGAAGUCAGGGAAAGGAAAUUUUGAGGGACAAUAAAGAAUAUAAGAAGAGAAAAUUAGGGAAAAAGUGGAGGAAGUAACAUGUUUCUUUAAAUUAUAGCAGAAAGUGAAAAAUUAAAGAAGAAAAAAAAAAGAAAGAACCAGAAAUUAACA